UGGAGAAGGAGACAUGGCGUGAUAUUGGUUCGGCUCACUACUCUCUGAUUCAUCAGAUUAGAUAUGAGCCGAACCAAUAUCACUCUUGUAUUCUUCUUC
RNAcentral lists this microRNA precursor (99 nucleotides) under Capsicum annuum. Lineage: Eukaryota; Viridiplantae; Streptophyta; Magnoliopsida; Solanales; Solanaceae. The record is from RNAcentral.